RNAcentral lists this ribosomal RNA (245 nucleotides) under uncultured bacterium. RNAcentral describes it as "partial 16S ribosomal RNA". It matches the Rfam family "Bacterial small subunit ribosomal RNA", at positions 524 to 768 of the family's 1533-position model. The record is from RNAcentral.
UACGAAGGUUGCGAGCGUUGUUCGGAAUCACUGGGCUUAAAGCGCAUGUAGGCGGAUGAGUAAGCGUUUUGUGAAAUCCCCCGACUUAACCGGGGAAUUGCUUGGCGAACUGCUCAUCUUGAGGCAAGCAGGGGUGCAUGGAACUCUUGGUGGAGCGGUGGAAUGCGUAGAUAUCAAGAGGAACGCCAAUGGUGAAAACAGUGCACUGGGCUUGUUCUGACGCUGAGAUGCGAAAGCGUGGGGAG